Molecule: ribosomal RNA, 517 nt
Filed under: uncultured bacterium
Lineage: Bacteria
Description: bacterial SSU rRNA
Rfam family: Bacterial small subunit ribosomal RNA
Source: RNAcentral
UGGGGAAUAUUGGACAAUGGGCGAAAGCCUGAUCCAGCAAUGCCGCGUGGGUGAAGAAGGUCUUCGGAUCGUAAAGCCCUUUCGACGGGGACGAUGAUGACGGUACCCGUAGAAGAAGCCCCGGCUAACUUCGUGCCAGCAGCCGCGGUAAUACGAAGGGGGCUAGCGUUGCUCGGAAUUACUGGGCGUAAAGGGCGCGUAGGCGGUUCUGCAAGUCAGGCGUGAAAUUCCUGGGCUCAACCUGGGGACUGCGCUUGAGACUGUGGGACUUGGGGAUGGAAGAGGCUCGUGGAAUUCCCAGUGUAGAGGUGAAAUUCGUAGAUAUUGGGAAGAACACCGGUGGCGAAGGCGGCGAGCUGGUCCAUUACUGACGCUGAGGCGCGACAGCGUGGGGAGCAAACAGGAUUAGAUACCCUGGUAGUCCACGCCGUAAACGAUGUGCGCUGGAUGUUGGGUGACCUAGUCACUCAGUGUCGUAGCUAACGCGGUAAGCGCACCGCCUGGGGAGUACGGCCGC